RNAcentral lists this long non-coding RNA (530 nucleotides) under Equus asinus (donkey). Its description in RNAcentral is "lncRNA (ENSEASG00005037909.1)". Lineage: Eukaryota; Metazoa; Chordata; Mammalia; Perissodactyla; Equidae. The record is from RNAcentral.
CGCUUCCGCGUUGGUUGCAGAUACUAUGCAGGAAAUGCCACUGGACGGUGUGAGAGGUGCAACAGGAGCUGCAAAGCCUGCUGGGGCCCGCGGCCCACAGACUGCCUGUCUUAGGAUCCAUUUUUCUUUCUGCUCUGCUCCAAGGGAGAGUGUCAUCGCCCCUGCCUGCAGCACUACUACGCAGAGCAAAGCACGCAGACCUGUCAGAGGUGCCAUCCAACUUGCAAUAAAUGCAAAGAAUCAUUCAUCUUGGGGCAGUAGGUUGACUACAUAAAAAUGUCAGCGAGUGAGGAUGACAAGAUGAGAAAUCAGCUCCUUCCUCCUUCUGGGAGAAGACCAUCAACCACCCUUGCUGUCUAGCCACUGAGCUGACCUUCCUGAGCACUAUCUUGAUAAUAUUUUAAAAUAACUUCUUCCCAAGUGCUCCCCAAGUAGGUGAGGACACAGCAGGAAGGUGCCCAUACACAAGCCAGGAAAAGGGCGCUCACCGGGAACUGUCUGCCUUCAUCUUGAACUUCCCAGUCUCAGAG